Molecule: long non-coding RNA, 970 nt
Organism: Peromyscus eremicus (cactus mouse)
Lineage: Eukaryota; Metazoa; Chordata; Mammalia; Rodentia; Cricetidae
Exons: 4
Source: RefSeq, a predicted model, not a curated record
AGAAUGAGAGAGAAGGAAAAUAUCAGAGAGUUAGGAGAACAUCCAGAGAGUAGAAGGAGAAGGAAAAUAUUCAGAGAGACAAAACAGCCAUUUCUGCAUAGUGAUAAGAAAAGAGAAUAUAGAACACAGAAUGAAGAACACAGAAGAAUAAAGGAAACCAUCAAGAGAGAGUGCAGGGUUUCACUGUGUAACUCUGGCAGGCAUGGAACUUGCUAUGCAGAUCAGACUGUUCCUGAACUUAACAGAAAUCUGUAUAUUUCUACCCUCCAAUGCUGGGAUGAAAGAUAGGAAUGAAGCAACAAAGUGAUAUUCUGCUCUACUCAUAGCUCAGCCAUCGCUGGAGAAGCUUCCUCCUACAACAGAUGGGGAUGAAUACAGCUGGACAAGAUGCUUGUUUGUUUUCUAAUGAGGAAGAGCAAGAAAGAAUGUAGAUUUGGAGAGGUGGGGAGGAUCUGGAAAGAGUUGGAAGAGGGCGACCAUAAUCAGAAUAUAUUGUAUGAAAGAAAAUCUGCUUUCAAUAAAAAAAAAAAACAAAGUUAAAAAACCCUAACUAUUUCAAGGCACAUUUAAUUUAAUUUCAAUAGAUCAAUAUGAAAGCUACUCCCCAUGGAACACCAAAGACAAUGCUGUUUACCAUGUGCCUACUGAAUGAGAUGGUUUAUUGAAUAAUGGAAUGAGUCUCAUCACAACCAAUACCUUACACAAUCUAGUUGUGAAAUGGAUGCUUAAAAUGCUCUAAACAGUUUAAACCUGAAGUUUAAGACCACACCUUCACAUUAUCACAUUCCUCAGUUACAGUUACUUACAGUUUCCACAAGCAUUCAAAGAACAACAUGAUUUAUAUGAACCCCAUGGAUUUAAGGCUCCAUUAUGUAAUAUAGAGCUCAGAGCUAAAUGCAGAAAUAGAUCUGCUACUUGUACUACUGGUAGCUAUAACUUGAUUGUCUCAUGACUAUUAGAAGCUGGUUGU